UUAAACUGAAGAGUUUGAUCAUGGCUCAGAUUGAACGCUGGCGGCAGGCUUAACACAUGCAAGUCGAGCGGGGGAAGGUAGCUUGCUACUGGACCUAGCGGCGGACGG
RNAcentral lists this ribosomal RNA (108 nucleotides) under Acinetobacter piscicola. RNAcentral's name for it is "partial 16S ribosomal RNA". It matches the Rfam family "Bacterial small subunit ribosomal RNA", at positions 1 to 105 of the family's 1533-position model. Lineage: Bacteria; Pseudomonadati; Pseudomonadota; Gammaproteobacteria; Moraxellales; Moraxellaceae. The record is from RNAcentral.